UACGGAGGGUGCUAGCGUUGUUCGGAAUCACUGGGCGUAAAGGGCGUGUAGGCGGUCUGUUAAGUCAGAUGUGAAAGCCCCGGGCUCAACCUGGGAACUGCAUUUGAAACUGGCGGGCUUGAGUGUGGCAGAGGGGGGUGGAAUUCCGCGUGUAGCAGUGAAAUGCGUAGAGAUGCGGAGGAACACCGAUGGCGAAGGCAGCCCCCUGGGCCAACACUGACGCUCAGGCACGAAAGCGUGGGGAGCAAACAGG
RNAcentral lists this ribosomal RNA (253 nucleotides) under uncultured bacterium. RNAcentral's name for it is "partial 16S ribosomal RNA". It matches the Rfam family "Bacterial small subunit ribosomal RNA", at positions 524 to 776 of the family's 1533-position model. The record is from RNAcentral.